RNAcentral lists this ribosomal RNA (497 nucleotides) under uncultured bacterium. RNAcentral describes it as "partial 16S ribosomal RNA". It matches the Rfam family "Bacterial small subunit ribosomal RNA", at positions 28 to 507 of the family's 1533-position model. The record is from RNAcentral.
GAUGAACGCUGGCGGCGUGCCUAAUACAUGCAAGUCGAGCGAACGGACGAGAAGCUUGCUUCUCUGAUGUUAGCGGCGGACGGGUGAGUAACACGUGGAUAACCUACCUAUAAGACUGGGAUAACUUCGGGAAACCGGAGCUAAUACCGGAUAAUAUUUUGAACCGCAUGGUUCAAAAGUGAAAGACGGUCUUGCUGUCACUUAUAGAUGGAUCCGCGCUGCAUUAGCUAGUUGGUAAGGUAACGGCUUACCAAGGCAACGAUGCAUAGCCGACCUGAGAGGGUGAUCGGCCACCCUGGGACUGAGACACGGUCCAGACUCCUACGGGAGGCAGCAGUAGGGAAUCUUCCGCAAUGGGCGAAAGCCUGAAGGAGCAACGCCGCGUGAGUGAUGAAGGUCUUCGGAUCGUAAAACUCUGUUAUUAGGGAAGACCAUAUGUGUAAGUAACUGUGCACAUCUUGACGGUACCUAAUCAGACAGCCACGGCUAACUACGUG